This 344-nucleotide unclassified non-coding RNA is filed under the name soil metagenome. Its description in RNAcentral is "partial contains 5.8S ribosomal RNA, internal transcribed spacer 2, and large subunit ribosomal RNA". The stretch from base 1 to 119 matches the Rfam family "5.8S ribosomal RNA", at positions 35 to 154 of the family's 154-position model. The record is from RNAcentral.
GAUGAAGAACGCAGCGAAAUGCGAUACGUAAUGUGAAUUGCAAAUUCAGUGAAUCAUCGAGUCUUUGAACGCACAUUGCGCCCCCUGGUAUUCCGGGGGGCAUGCCUGUCCGAGCGUCAUUGCUGCCCUCAAGCACGGCUUGUGUGUUGGGCCCCGUCCUCCGAUCCCGGGGGACGGGCCCGAAAGGCAGCGGCGGCACCGCGUCCGGUCCUCGAGCGUAUGGGGCUUUGUCACCCGCUCUGUAGGCCCGGCCGGCGCUUGCCGAUCAACCCAAAUUUUUAUCCAGGUUGACCUCGGAUCAGGUAGUGAUACCCGCUGAACUUAAGCAUAUCAAUAAGGGAGGA